AUCUUUUUAGUACAACCAGUACAAGUGACUUCCAAUCACUAAAUCUUGGUAAAAAUCCAAGAAAAGAUA
RNAcentral lists this transfer RNA (69 nucleotides) under Danio albolineatus (pearl danio). RNAcentral describes it as "tRNA-Gly". It matches the Rfam family "tRNA". Rfam says of the family: Transfer RNA (tRNA) molecules are approximately 80 nucleotides in length. Their secondary structure includes four short double-helical elements and three loops (D, anti-codon, and T loops). Further hydrogen bonds mediate the characteristic L-shaped molecular structure. tRNAs have two regions of fundamental functional importance: the anti-codon, which is responsible for specific mRNA codon recognition, and the 3' end, to which the tRNAs corresponding amino acid is attached (by aminoacyl-tRNA synthetases). tRNAs cope with the degeneracy of the genetic code in two manners: having more than one tRNA (with a specific anti-codon) for a particular amino acid; and 'wobble' base-pairing, i.e. permitting non-standard base-pairing at the 3rd anti-codon position. RNAcentral also lists the same sequence under 1 other name. The record is from RNAcentral. Lineage: Eukaryota; Metazoa; Chordata; Actinopteri; Cypriniformes; Danionidae.